This 624-nucleotide long non-coding RNA is filed under the name Equus caballus (horse). RNAcentral describes it as "lncRNA (ENSECAG00000046261.1)". The record is from RNAcentral. Lineage: Eukaryota; Metazoa; Chordata; Mammalia; Perissodactyla; Equidae.
CUUCUUCCUCUCCCUUCUUUACUUAAAAAAUCUUUUUUCUAUUGUUCUGAAACAGGCUUGGCAGAAUUUGUAGCAAAGUCUUUAGAACACAGCCAUAUCUCAGGAUUCUGCAGAUUUGGAGCGAUGGUGGGUGAAGCUGAUCUUCUUUAUUUGUGAACCGGGGUUCACGUCAAAGGAGCCGCUCAGAUACUCUCCUGUUAGCUUUGUGAAAGCAAGCAUAAUUCACAAUAGCCAGGAUGUGGAAACAACCCAAGUGCCCUUCUACAGAUGAAAGGAUAAAGAAGAUGUGGCAUAUAUAUAUACAAUGGAAUACUACUCAGCCAUAAAAAUGACAAAAUGGUCCCAUUUGCAACAACAUGCAUGGACCUGGAGGGUGUGGUGUUAAGCGAAAUAAGCCAGACAGAGAAAGGCAAAUACUGCCUGAUUUCACUCAUAUGCGGAUGAUAACAAAUACAAGGAUAAAGAGAACAGAUUAGUUGUUACCAGAGGGGAAGGGGGUUGGAGGGUGGGCGAAAGGGACAAAGGGGCACAUAUGUAUGGUGAUGGAUAAAAAUUAGACUACUGAGUGUCUAAUGAUGAAGUGUAUUCAGGAAUUGGUAAACAAUAAUGUACAUCCAAAAUUAC